This 1519-nucleotide long non-coding RNA is filed under the name Triticum aestivum (bread wheat). Its description in RNAcentral is "long non-coding RNA (TAES_LNC013609)". Lineage: Eukaryota; Viridiplantae; Streptophyta; Magnoliopsida; Poales; Poaceae. The record is from RNAcentral.
GGAGUAUUAGUUAGCUAGGAAAUUACUUAUGCUAAUGUGCAUUGUUUGUUUUAUUUGGUACUUGCAGGUCGUUGUAGACUUUGCUCUAUCAAAGGAGCCAGUAUUUGAUGGAAGGAAGACAGUUCCCAGGAUGCAACCUAUGGAUAGAUGCAUCUUGACUGCGUGUCCACCAAGUUCACAAAGAAGAGUCAUAAAUCCUCCAACGAGUCGUCCUGGCGACCACGCACUGGCACUGCCCCUCGACUGUGCAGCCUAAUCCAACAAGUUCAAGCACUAUUGAUUUGUGGUGGUGUUGCGCCAUCAGAUUUCUUAGGCAGUGCAACUACGCAUGUAAGCAUGUAGACGCAUGGUGUUCUAUGCCAUUUGCUCAUAUAUAUACAAUACAAUUACUCGGUUAGAAGGAAUACUUGAAGCAUCUGUUUUAACUAACUAUACUAUAAGACAAAGUUCACUAUAGGUAGCAUUUUACUCGUGAUUCAUCCUAUCAUCCUUAGAUAUAUAAAUUAAGCCGCACACAAAUUAUUUUGUAACGGAGGAACAUGUUAAUAUUUUUUUUUGAAAUGAGGAACAUGUUAAUUUUAACUGUACUACAGGCGACCGAUGCUAUGCCGCUUCAGCUUCCUCCUAAAGAUAUUCAUAUUUUAUUUGUAAAAGACGAAGGUGCCAACAGCAUGACGUUUCUAUUAUGUUUCAGGAGAAAUUUGGAUCUUUUUGAACAGUUAUUGCAGCCAACUUUUUGAAUGAGUAUAACAACUAUGAUAUGAGGUAAGGUAAUCCGUUAUAUUCCUCUUUGGUAAUAGUUGAACAUGGGCUACUUGAGGCUGCAUGCUAAAUUAUUAUUGGCAACAACUUUAUUGUUGGUUUACUGAUUAUCACAAGCAUCUCCAUUUUUCAGUCAAAGACAUCCGAUUUUUUUACUGUUGUUCUUUAGCAUACUAAUAACUUUGUUUUCUUUAUUUUCACCUGAUUUUCAUUGGUUGAUUCAUGUGUAUAGUUCAAUGAGGAAUGGAAUUGCGAUAAAAGGAUUAUUGAAAAGCUGGAAACCAGUCCCAGAAAAUUACUCUGGCAAGAGAAAGAAGCCAAUAUUCGGCGUGAUCUGUUCGAUCUACUAUAAGUAAUUUGGUCUUGUGUUGUGCAGACCAUCUAUUUUUGUUGUUGUAUACAUUCUAUUGCUAAUAUGUGCAGCUAGACCAUGUCCAAGUGAUCUUUUGAUUUGCUGUCUCGUAUAAUUGAAAAAUGAGAAUGAAGUGGACGACAACUGUGUAGACACGAGGCAUAGCUGAUUUAUGCAAUGCUUCUUGUCACAGUAGCCAUUGCCUUGCCAUCAUACAUAGUGAGAGGAGACCAAGAGAGUACAUCAGUACAUCAUAAGCCAUUGCCUUGCCAUGAAAUAUUUAAAACUUGCAGACUACGUGUUCAUAUGACAGUGUCCGCAAAUAGAUAGAUUAAUUUCUGUAAGUAUACUUCUCCUUCUAUCAAAUUCUGAAUAAUUAUACCACCUUCUGUGUGGAGUGUCUUG